CAGUAGCCGCGGGAAUACGAAGGGGGCUAGCGUUGUUCGGAAUUACUGGGCGUAAAGCGCACGUAGGCGGAUAUUUAAGUCAGGGGUGAAAUCCCGCAGCUCAACUGCGGAACUGCCUUUGAUACUGGGUAUCUUGAGUAUGGAAGAGGUUAGUGGAAUUGCGAGUGUAGAGGUGAAAUUCGCAGAUAUUCGCAGGAACACCAGUGGCGAAGGCGGCUAACUGGUCCAUAACUGACGCUGAGGUGCGAAAGCGUGGGGAGCAAACAGGAUUAGAUACCCCUGUAGUCCCUGUCUCUUAUAC
Molecule: ribosomal RNA, 301 nt
Filed under: uncultured bacterium
Lineage: Bacteria
Description: partial 16S ribosomal RNA
Rfam family: Bacterial small subunit ribosomal RNA
Source: RNAcentral